Empidonax traillii (willow flycatcher) is the source of this 367-nucleotide long non-coding RNA. RefSeq lists it as uncharacterized. The record is from RefSeq and is a predicted model, not a curated record. NCBI's taxonomy places the organism in Eukaryota, Metazoa, Chordata, Aves, Passeriformes, Tyrannidae. The transcript is spliced from 3 exons.
AAUUGCCUGGAAGGCUGCUGGAAAAGGUGUAGUGGCAACUGGUCCUGAACCACUGAGCGUGGAGUUUCUCAAUUGUCCUGCAGGGGGAUGGGUGAUGUGAAGAGAUCCACUCGUGACUCCCGGCGCAUCCGCAGGUCUCCCGGAGAUGUUCCAGGAACCUCCUUUAGCCACUGGUCCGGCACCAGGGACUCUGCUAAUGGCCCCUCCCAGGAAAGUGACUCAGAAGAACGUGUAGAAGCCAAGAAGCAGCUGGGAAGGUGUGUGGGGAAGGUGAGCAUCGCACACAGGUCUGGCACUGAUCUCCUCAGCCUCCUUCUCUGCUCCUUCCUCCCUGGAGCAGACUGCCAGGGAACACCCCUGGACAGUG